AAGAAAACAGUGAACCCAGUACAUUUUAUUUUUUUCAAGAGAGCUGAUGGUUGGUGCAAAUCAGUAAAAAAUAAUUUCGAAGUUCCAGUUCACCCAAUGUGCCUUUCGAAAUAAGAAAGGUCGGUAACAGCCGUUAUCUGUUUACAAGUGCAGUCUCGAUAGACUGAACUUGGGUGGUACCGCGAAACUCAAACCAGUUCGUCCCAAGA
RNAcentral lists this non-coding RNA (209 nucleotides) under Enterococcus mundtii. Its description in RNAcentral is "T-box sequence". It matches the Rfam family "T-box leader". From Rfam's summary of the family: Uncharged tRNA acts as the effector for transcription antitermination of genes in the T-box leader family. T-boxes are found upstream of many aminoacyl-tRNA synthetase genes and some amino acid biosynthetic genes usually in Gram-positive bacteria. The anticodon of a specific tRNA base pairs to a specifier sequence within the T-box motif, and the NCCA acceptor tail of the tRNA base pairs to a conserved bulge in the T-box antiterminator hairpin. The record is from RNAcentral. Lineage: Bacteria; Bacillati; Bacillota; Bacilli; Lactobacillales; Enterococcaceae.